RNAcentral lists this long non-coding RNA (216 nucleotides) under Lathyrus oleraceus (garden pea). RNAcentral describes it as "Pisum sativum (pea) long non-coding RNA (PSAT_LNC023377)". The record is from RNAcentral. Lineage: Eukaryota; Viridiplantae; Streptophyta; Magnoliopsida; Fabales; Fabaceae.
GUUUUCUGCAAUUUGUUUACUGUAACGUUUGUAAAUUGCAUUGCCAUAAGCCAUUGAAUAAAUUCCAAAAGGCCUGGGGCGAGGGGGAUUCGAACCCCAGACCCUUGCUUCAGAUACCAAGUGUUUUACCACUGGGGCGCGAUGCCAAUUCAAUUAUUAAAUGCCUUCUAAAAUAUAUAUUUAAAAAGGAGCGCUGCUACUGGGCGCGUUGACCGG